Long non-coding RNA from Loxodonta africana (African savanna elephant), 5018 nucleotides. RefSeq lists it as uncharacterized. The record is from RefSeq and is a predicted model, not a curated record. The transcript has 3 exons. Lineage: Eukaryota; Metazoa; Chordata; Mammalia; Proboscidea; Elephantidae.
CGAGGGCACCUGAUGGAGCAGGUGUCGCGCAGGUCGUGCGCGAGGUGCAGGCUUGGCCAGCCUGAGGGGAGGUGCGGUGCUGGGAGCAUGCUCUCUGCGGUCCCGGUGACUUCGUCCAGGACAAGCAGACCCUGUUGGCGGCCGCGUAGCGCAGGGACAGAGGGGCUCGGCGGGGCUGCGGGAACCGAGCCUGCGGACGCAUCCUGCCCGAGCGGCCUUGCGGCCCUCCGGGUGUCCAGGCCCUGAGCUGGUGGUCCGUGGGGAGAGGACCUGGAAUCUGCCGGGUGUCCGGGGUUGUAAAACUGUUCCCUAUCGGCUGGCUAGUGUUGUUUUCUAAGUUAUCCUAACGGGUUCAGCGCAAGGGCUAACUUUAAAUAUUCUCAUUGAUUUCCUUCAUCAGGUUGUGCACUUGUAAGUAUUAAAUGUGCAAAACUAGGAGCGACAUAAACAAAAAAACGAAACCCACUGCGUCGAAUUCAUUCUGACGUAUAGCGACCCUGUAGGAAAGAGUGGAACAGCCCCAUGGGGUUUCCAAGGCUGAAAUCUUUACCAAGCAGACGGCCACAUCUUUCUCUUCCAGCAGCUGGUAGGUUCCACCUUUGAUUAGCAGCCCAGCGCUUCACCCCUGCGCCAUUAAAGGGAUAUGAAGGACAAUAAAUUCAAACUUAGACAAGUGGCUGCUUCCGCAUUUUAACUGACACCGGGAAUUCAUUCUGUUUGCAAAGUUUUUCUUCUUAAAACAGUGCCUUAAUGCUUUGAACCCAAGUAGACAGAAUUUGUCUUCAACUGCAGUUUGUGACAGGGUUUUGUAAUUCACUGUUUUGACAGUUAUAGUCUAUAUUUGAAGUAUUUAACUGAAGUUAAGAGCGAGGAUCCCUGAAGCACUGGAAUUUUCAGUUUUGAAUCGAACCAAUCGCUUUUUCCUUUCUGUGUAGUUCUAAAUAUACUUAUAACCUACUUAGCAAAGCCCUGGAGAGGGGUGUGUGUCCAUGGUCAAUUCAUUUUUACCUAAACAGAGCCCAGCUCUGGCUACCAAUAUUGCCUGCAGUUAAGAUCUGUUUGACAUUAAUUUCGUCAUUAACAUCUGGCUGACACGAUGUUGUCAUUAAUAUCCGGUUGACAUCUGCACACGGAAAGAGAGCAAAUAACGCAUUUUUAAGCAUUAUCGUUGGUAGUAUUUGACUUUGUGACUCAGGCGUAAGGCACCAUCGCUCAGGUUUCCAAAUGCUGUCCAAUUGCCCAGGAGGCAGAAAACUCUACGAGGGAAGAAGAAAAGCACCUCGACUAGGUGCCAGACUUUGCAGCUGUGCUUUUACUAGCAGGUACCUUCCUGUUGUUUUUGCAUCUCUGUGUUUUGCCUGAAUCCUGGGCCUUUAAACAGUGCCACGGCACAGGAACCUGUUAAGAAUAGGCCAUCUGUUAGUUCAUUUCUAGCUUAUAAACUUUCACUAGUAGUUGUUCUUUAAAUGUAGUAAAUCUUGCUUUUGGUUUUCUUUGCUUUUGGUUGGUGUUGUGGAUUGAAUGGAAACCCUGGUGGCGUAGUGGUUAAGUGUACGGCUGCUAACCAAAGGGUCGGCAGUUCGAAUCCACCAGGUGCUCCUUGGAAACUCUAUGGGGCAGUUCUACUCUGUCCUAUAGAGUUGCUAUGAGUCGGAAUCGACUCGACGGCACUGGGUUUGGUUUUGGUUUAUGGAUUGAAUUGUGUUCCUCCAAAAUAUGCCGGAAAUCCUAACCUCUAUGCCUGUGUUGUUCUUUUUUUAUGCCUGUGGUCAUAAUCCCAUUUGGGACUGGGUUGUCUUUGUUAUGUGAAUGAGGCAGGAUUAGUGUAGGGUGUAUGUUGAGUCAAUCUCUUUUGAAAUGUAAAAAGAUAUUAAACACAGGAGCAAAGGAGAGAUGGGGUAAGAUAGAUGCCAAGACACAUGGAGAUCUCUAAGGAGCCAGGAAAGAGAAGCUGGAGACAAGGGCCUUCAUCCAGGGCUGACAGAGACAGAAAGCCUUCCCCUAGAGCCGGAACCCUGAAUUCGGACUUCUAGCUCCCUAAACUGUGAGAAAAUAAAUUUCUCCUUGUGAAAGCUACCCACCCACUUCUGUUACAGCAGCACAGCACUAGAUGGCUAAGACAGUUGGGUAAGACUGUUCUACAAAAGUUAAUAACUGCAGCUCACUUAUACCAAAUUCCUAGAGGGUACAGCAUUUGGAAACAAGGGAGGGGCAGAGGGGGUACAGAUCACAUUCCAGCUUUGACGGGGAGUCAUUCGUGGAGGAAAAAUAUCAGCUCUUCUCUGCUGGACGCUGGGCUGGGUGGGGGAAGUUUAGGGACAGCAAACGACAAAUGAACAGCAUCCUGCUCCCAGUUCUGAGAUCCUGGUGAGCAGACGUCCACCUCUGCAUCCUGCUAGAUGGGACACUGGGUAGGCACCUGUUGGCCCCACCCUGCUCUCCUCAUCUGUCUUUUCUAGUGCUUUGGGGAACAUCCUGGGUCCUGGUUCUGCUGGAUCACAGAAUUCAAUCCAGGAAAAAGCACCUGCAAAUGGUUAAUGUGCUGAGCUGAUAAAUGAAAGUUUGGAGGUUCAAAUCCACCCAGGGCAGAGAUGCCUUGGAAGAAAGCCCUGGUGUUCUACUUCCAAAAAAUCAGCCAUUGAAAACCCUAAGAAGCAACAGUUCCAUUCAUGGGGUCACCAUAGGUCAGGAUCGACUUGAGGGCAACUAUAUGGUCGCAAUGAGUCGGAAUCAACUUGACAGCAAUGGGUUUGGGUAUUCUCCAAACGAGCUAUUUCUUCCCUUAAACUCCUGGAACCACCAAAGGCCCUUCAACUCAGAUCCAGCUUUUCAGCUGAGAGCCAAGGUUGCCUGUGGUUCUCUCUGGAGUCAUCAAUAGCUCAAAGUACAGUAAAUGUACAAACUUGACAGGCUGUGAUGAGAUUCUGGUGCUUGGGAGGACUGGAGAGGCCCCACCCAAGUUAACAAAAAAGGCAACUGUCAUUUAAUUCCCUGGAUGGUUUUUUUUUUAAGUGUCUGAAGUCUCAAGGAAGGCAUUAGAGAUCCCUCUGCAAAGCUCUGCCUCUCCUGCUCCCCAGCACAACUCACUGGACCAGGUGUUUUUAACACUGCGUACUCAGAUCCAAGAUACAACCCUGAGGGGCCCAGGGAUUGAACUCAAGAAGUCUCUGAACUCGGGUGGUGGGGGACAACAUCAUUAUUUUCACAGGACAAGUGCUGUUUGGGGCGGCCUGCCUCAGCCACAUGGAGAAAGCCUGUCUUGAAAAGAAUGGCAGACUCAGUCAGCCAAUUAUCAACUCAGAGCGUGCUGCAAAAGUCAGGGACCUCCAUGGAGGCAGUUAAAGAGUCUCUCAACUUCUGCAGCCAUAAGCAGACCACGCUGAAAAUCAGACCCAAGAUCUAAUGGUCAGGAUUGCCAGUUUACAAAGACACUAAAUUGGCAGUCAUGGUGAAGCUCUUACGCUUCACUCAGGGCCCUAAAAGGAAAGGGAGAACCUUGAGACAUGGUGGAUUGAGUGGGUGCAGUUGACAAUCUUGAACCUGUCAAUGAGUAAGAGUACAUACUCUGUUAAAAAUAAAAGCAAAGCCGUUUAUUGAAGGUUCAAGACAGUUGGAAUUGGAGACACAUCUGUUCUCACACAAUGAAACCAAAGACUCCAAAACGGAGGAGUCACAGAAGCAUAUCUAUGAGAGUGCAAACAGCCACCAACUUGAGGAACAGGUGACAGGACAAAGUGAACUUGUGGGCAUUCCUGGAUCUGAGUAUGCAAGGAGUUGGCUUCCUGCCUUAAGCACCUGUGUCUCUCUGCCAAGUGUUGUCUCUGAUCAGACGGGCAUCUUAUGGCGAGUUUGACAGAGGUCAGGACUGAUCGAGGGAAAGGAUAUGACCACAAAAUAGCAGUGUUGCACAACAAGCUAUUUAUUGGAGCCUUUUUUUUUUUUUUAAUGUGUUGACCAGCCAGAGCACUGGUGGCACAGUGGGUAAGAGCUCGGCUGCUAACCAAAAGGUCCGUAGUUUGAAGUCACCAACAGCUCCUGGGGAACCCUAUGGGGCAGUUCUACUGUGUCCUAGAGGGUCACUAUGGGUCGGAAUCGACUCAACGGCAAUGGGCUUGCUUUUGGUGUUCAUGUGUUGACUGGAGUCCCUGGAGGUGCAACCAGUUAAGCACUCGACUAGUAACUGGAAGGUUGGCAGUUCAAACCCACCCAGGGGUACCUUGGAAGGCAGGCCUGAUGACCUGCUUUCAAAAUGUCACAGUCUUGAAAACACUAUGAAGAAAUUCUACUCUGUACACAUGGAGUCGCCAUGAGCUGGAAUCAACAUGAUGGCAACUAACAACAACAUGUGUUGACCACUACCAGCCUGUCAGUUUGUUGUACUCUGAGGGCUUGUGUGUGUCACCAGUAUUUUAAAUAGCCUCAGGAUCACUCAAGGUGGACCUGAGUCAUCCAUGCUGGCCUUGAAUACACCGUGGAUUGGCAGAAGAAUGAAGGAACCCUUCUUAGAAAAAACCUAACCUGAAUUUCUUAGAAGAGAGGAUUCUGAGACUUCUACUUGCUUACUUUGGACACAUUAUCAGGAAAGAGCAAUCACUGAAAAAGGACAUCAUGGAUGGUAAAGUAGAGAGUCCAUGAAAAGGACUCAAUAGCCUAACAAUGGACUCAAACAACAAUGAUCAUGAAGAUGGCAGGACGGGGCAAAGUUUCAAUCUGUUAUAUGUAAGAUCGCCAUGAGUAGGAGCCGACUGGAAGGCAACUGACAACCACAAUUGUAACAAAUGAGCUACCCUAAUGUAAGAUGUUAGUAGGGGAAACUGGUUAUGAGGAGAUAUACGGCAAUUAUGUUAUCUUUGUGAUUUUUCUGAAACUAUAAAAGUUUCUAAAAAUAAGUUUCAUUACCAAAAAUAUGAAUUCAGUUGGUUAUUUUUCUGCCUCAUUCUGCAGCAGGAGUCCUCUGGAGGCAAGUGGCUCAGGGAGCCAGCCAAAAGGAAAGAGGGCAGGAAUUCCCAGAGGAUAGA